AGCUUAGUUGGUAAGGUAACGGGCUUACCAAGGCGAUGAUGCAUAGCCCGAGUUGAGAGACUGAUCGGCCACAUUGGGGACUGAGACACGGGCCCAAACUCCUACGGGAGGCAGCAGUAGGGAAUCUUCCACAAUGGACGAAAGUCUGAUGGAGCAAACGCCGCGUGAGUGAAGAAGGUUUUCGGAUCGUAAAGCUCUGUUGUUGGUGAAGAAGGAUAGAGGUAGUAACUGGCCCUUUAUUUGACGGUAAUCAACCAGAAAGUCACGGGCUAACUACGUGCCAGCAGCCGCGGUAAAU
This 298-nucleotide ribosomal RNA is filed under the name uncultured Lactobacillus sp. RNAcentral describes it as "partial 16S ribosomal RNA". It matches the Rfam family "Bacterial small subunit ribosomal RNA", at positions 243 to 525 of the family's 1533-position model. The record is from RNAcentral. Lineage: Bacteria; Bacillati; Bacillota; Bacilli; Lactobacillales; Lactobacillaceae.